GACGAACGCUGGCGGCGUGCUUAACACAUGCAAGUCGAACGGAAAGGCCCUGCUUUUGUGGGGUGCUCGAGUGGCGAACGGGUGAGUAACACGUGAGUAACCUGCCCUUGACUUUGGGAUAACUUCAGGAAACUGGGGCUAAUACCGGAUAGGAGCUCCUGCUGCAUGGUGGGGGUUGGAAAGUUUCGGCGGUUGGGGAUGGACUCGCGGCUUAUCAGCUUGUUGGUGGGGUAGUGGCUUACCAAGGCUUUGACGGGUAGCCGGCCUGAGAGGGUGACCGGCCACAUUGGGACUGCGAUACGGCCCAGACUCCUACGGGAGGCAGCAGUGGAGAGUAUUGCGCAAUGGGCGGAAGCGUGAUGCAGCAACGCCGCGUGCGGGAUGACGGCCUUCGGGUUGUAAACCGCUUUCGCCUGUGACGAAGCGUGAGUGACGGUAAUGGGUAAAGAAGCACCGGCUAACUACGUG
This 468-nucleotide ribosomal RNA is filed under the name uncultured bacterium. RNAcentral describes it as "partial 16S ribosomal RNA". It matches the Rfam family "Bacterial small subunit ribosomal RNA", at positions 28 to 507 of the family's 1533-position model. The record is from RNAcentral.